CUACGGGAGGCAGCAGUGAGGAAUUUUGCGCAAUGGGCGAAAGCCUGACGCAGCAACGCCGCGUGAGUGAUGAAGGCCUUCGGGUCGUAAAGCUCUGUCAAGUGGGAAGAACCUAUGUAAUGUUAAUAUCAUUAUAUACUGACGGUACCACUGAAGGAAGCACCGGCUAACUCCGUGCCAGCAGCCGCGGUAAUACGGGGGGUGCAAGCGUUAUUCGGAAUCAUUGGGCGUAAAGGGCACGUAGGCGGCUUGGUAAGUCAGAUGUGAAAGCCCGGGGCUUAACCCCGGAAGUGCAUUUGAUACUGUCAGGCUUGAGUAUGGGAGAGGGAAGUGGAAUUCCUGGUGUAGAGGUGAAAUUCGUAGAUAUCAGGAGGAACACCGGUGGCGAAGGCGACUUCCUGGACCAAUACUGACGCUGAGGUGCGAAGGCGUGGGUAGCAAACAGGAUUAGAUACCCCAGUACUC
This 465-nucleotide ribosomal RNA is filed under the name uncultured bacterium. RNAcentral's name for it is "partial 16S ribosomal RNA". It matches the Rfam family "Bacterial small subunit ribosomal RNA", at positions 339 to 795 of the family's 1533-position model. The record is from RNAcentral.